GAUGAACGCUGGCGGCAUGCCUAAUACAUGCAAGUCGAACGGUAUCUUCGGAUACAGUGGCGAACGGGUGAGUAACACGUAGGGAACCUGGCCAUGACCGGGGGAUAAUUUCUGGAAACGGAAACUAAGACCCCAUAGGAAUACAGAAGGCAUCUUGUGUAUUUUAAAGAGAGCUUAUGGCUCUGGUGAUGGAUGGACCUGCGGUGCAUUAGUUGGCUGGUAAGGUAACGGCUCACCAGGACGAUGAUGCAUAGCCGGCCUGAGAGGGCGGACGGCCACACUGGGACUGAGACACGGCCCAGACUCCUGCGGGAGGCAGCAGUAGGGAAUUUUCGUCAAUGGGGGAAACCCUGAACAAGCAAUGCCGCGUGAGUGAGGAAGGUCUUCGGAUUGUAAAGCUCUGUUGCCGGGGAAAAGAGGGAAAGAGAGGAAAUGCUCUUUUCAGGAUGGUACCCGGCCAGAAAGUCACGGCUAACUACGUGCCAGCAGCCGCGGUAAUACGUAGGUGGCAAGCGUUAUCCGGAAUGAUUGGGCGUAAAGGGUGAGCAGGCGGCCUGGACAAGUCAUGAGUGAAAGGUGGAAGCUUAACUUUCACAGGCUGAUGAUACUGACAGGCUUGAGUACAGGAGAGGGCGGCGGAACUCCAUGUGUAGCGGUAAAAUGCGUAGAUAUAUGGAAGAACACCAGUGGCGAAGGCGGCCGCCUGGACUGUAACUGACGCUGAGGCACGAAAGCGUGGGGAGCAAAUAGGAUUAGAUACCCUAGUAGUCCACGCCGUAAACGAUGAGGAGCAGGUGUCGGGGUCAGACCCGGUGCCGAAGCCAACGCAGUGACUCCUCCGCCUGGGGAGUAUGCACGCAAGUGUGAAACUCAAAGGAAUUGACGGGGGCCCGCACAAGCGGUGGAGUAUGUGGUUUAAUUCGAAGCAACGCGAAGAACCUUACCAGGCCUUGACAUGGGAUGCGAAGACUUAGAGAUAAGUUGGAGGUUAACAUCCACACAGGUGGUGCAUGGUUGUCGUCAGCUCGUGUCGUGAGAUGUUCAGUUAAGUCUGGCAACGAGCGCAACCCUUGUGAUAUGUUGCUAACAUUAAGUUGAGGACUCAUAUCAGACUGCCGGUGACAAACCGGAGGAAGGCGGGGAUGACGUCAAAUCAUCAUGCCCCUUAUGGCCUGGGCUACACACGUACUACAAUGGCGCCUGCAGCAGGAAGCGAGCCAGUGAUGGCAAGCGAAACGAGAAAGGGCGUCUCAGUUCGGAUUGAAGCCUGCAACCCGGCUUCAUGAAGAUGGAAUCGCUAGUAAUCGCGGAUCAGCAUGCCGCGGUGAAUACGUUCCCGGGCC
This 1343-nucleotide ribosomal RNA is filed under the name uncultured bacterium. Its description in RNAcentral is "bacterial SSU rRNA". It matches the Rfam family "Bacterial small subunit ribosomal RNA", at positions 28 to 1380 of the family's 1533-position model. The record is from RNAcentral.